AACGAACGCUGGCGGCAGGCCUAACACAUGCAAGUCGAGCGCCCUUUCGGGGGAGCGGCGGACGGGUGAGUAACGCGUGGGAAUAUGCCCUUCUCUACGGAAUAGCCUCGGGAAACUGAGAGUAAUACCGUAUACGCCCUGUGGGGGAAAGAUUUAUCGGGGAAGGAUUAGCCCGCGUUGGAUUAGGUAGUUGGUGGGGUAAUGGCCUACCAAGCCGACGAUCCAUAGCUGGUUUGAGAGGAUGAUCAGCCACACUGGGACUGAGACACAGCCCAGACUCCUACGGGAGGCAGCAGUGGGGAAUCUUAGACAAUGGGGGCAACCCUGAUCUAGCCAUGCCGCGUGAGUGAUGAAGGCCUUAGGGUUGUAAAGCUCUUUCAGCUGGGAAGAUAAUGACGGUACCAGCAGAAGAAGCCCCGGCUAACUCCGUG
Molecule: ribosomal RNA, 431 nt
Filed under: uncultured bacterium
Lineage: Bacteria
Description: partial 16S ribosomal RNA
Rfam family: Bacterial small subunit ribosomal RNA
Source: RNAcentral